GACGAACGCUGGCGGCGUGCUUAACACAUGCAAGUGGAGCGACGAACCAGGCUUCGGCCUGGGGCAGAGCCGCGAACGGGUGAGUAACACGUGGGUAACGUGCCCCGAUGACUGGGACAACCCGAGGAAACUCGGGCUAAUACCGGAUAUGCCCCCUCACGCGAGUGAGGUGUGUAAAGGAAGCUUCGGCCUCCGCAUCGGGAUCGGCCCGCGGCCCAUUAGCUUGUUGGUGAGGUAACGGCUCACCAAGGCUGCGAUGGGUAGCUGGUCUGAGAGGACGAUCAGCCACACUGGGACUGAGACACGGCCCAGACUCCUACGGGAGGCAGCAGUGGGGAAUCUUGCGCAAUGCGCGAAAGCGUGACGCAGCAACGCCGCGUGGGGGAAGAAGGCCUUCGGGUUGUAAACCCCUUUCAGUUGGGACGAAGCGCGGGUGGUGAAUAGCCAUUCCGCGUGACGGUACCUUCACAAGAAGCCCCGGCUAACUACGUGCCAGCAGCCGCCGUAACAC
This 511-nucleotide ribosomal RNA is filed under the name uncultured bacterium. Its description in RNAcentral is "bacterial SSU rRNA". It matches the Rfam family "Bacterial small subunit ribosomal RNA", at positions 28 to 526 of the family's 1533-position model. The record is from RNAcentral.